Molecule: ribosomal RNA, 913 nt
Filed under: uncultured archaeon
Lineage: Archaea
Description: bacterial SSU rRNA
Rfam family: Archaeal small subunit ribosomal RNA
Source: RNAcentral
UUCCGGUUGAUCCCGCCGGACCUGACUGCUAUCGGAUUGAUACUAAGCCAUGCGAGUCAUUGUAGUAAUACAAGGCAGACGGCUCAGUAACGCGUAGUCAACCUACCCUAUGGACGGGGAUAACCUCGGGAAACUGAGAAUAAUACCCGAUAGAACAUUAUUCCUGGAAUGGUUUAUGUUUCAAAUAAUUUAUUGCCGUAGGAUGGGACUGCGGCCUAUCAGUUUGUUGGUGAGGUAAUGGCCCACCAAGACUAUUACAGGUACGGGCUCUGAGAGGAGUAGCCCGGAGAUGGGUACUGAGACACGGACCCAGGCCCUAUGGGGCGCAGCAGGCGAGAAAACUUUGCAAUGUGCGAAAGCACGACAAGGUUAAUCCGAGUGGUUUCUGCUAAAGGAACCUUUUGUCAGUCCUAGAAACACUGAUGAAUAAGGGGUGGGCAAGUUCUGGUGUCAGCCGCCGCGGUAAAACCAGCACCUCAAGUGGUCAGGAUGAUUAUUGGGCCUAAAGCAUCCGUAGCCUGCUUUGUUAGUUUUCGGUUAAAUCCAUAUGCUCAACGUAUGGGCUGCCGGGAAUACUGCAAAGCUAGGGAGUGGGAGAGGUAGACGGUACUCGGUAGGAAGGGGUAAAAUCCUUUGAUCUAUUGAUGACACCUGUGGCGAAGGCGGUCUACCAGAACACGUCCGACGGUGAGGGAUGAAAGCUGGGGGAGCAAACCGGAUUAGAUACCCGGGUAGUCCCAGCUGUAAACUAUGCAAACUCAGUGAUGCAUUGGCUUGAUGCCAAUGCAGUGCUGCAGGGAAGCCGUUAAGUUUGCCGCCUGGGAAGUACGUACGCAAGUAUGAAACUUAAAGGAAUUGGCGGGGGAGCACCACAAGGGUGAAGCCUGCGGUUCAAUUGGAUUCAACGCCGGAA